AUUGAACGCUGGCGGCAGGCCUAACACAUGCAAGUCGAGCGGAUGAAGGGAGCUUGCUCCUGGAUUCAGCGGCGGACGGGUGAGUAAUGCCUAGGAAUCUGCCUGGUAGUGGGGGAUAACGUCCGGAAACGGGCGCUAAUGCCGCAUACGUCCUGAGGGAGAAAGUGGGGGAUCUUCGGACCUCACGCUAUCAGAUGAGCCUAGGUCGGAUUAGCUAGUUGGUGGGGUAAAGGCCUACCAAGGCGACGAUCCGUAACUGGUCUGAGAGGAUGAUCAGUCACACUGGAACUGAGACACGGUCCAGACUCCUACGGGAGGCAGCAGUGGGGAAUAUUGGACAAUGGGCGAAAGCCUGAUCCAACCAUGCCGCGUGUGUGAAGAAGGUCUUCGGAUUGUAAAGCACUUUAAGUUGGGAGGAAGGGCAGUAAGUUAAUACCUUGCUGUUUUGACGUUACCAACAGAAUAAGCACCGGCUAACUUCGUG
This 484-nucleotide ribosomal RNA is filed under the name uncultured bacterium. Its description in RNAcentral is "partial 16S ribosomal RNA". It matches the Rfam family "Bacterial small subunit ribosomal RNA", at positions 30 to 507 of the family's 1533-position model. The record is from RNAcentral.